This is a long non-coding RNA of Felis catus (domestic cat), 5276 nucleotides long. RefSeq lists it as uncharacterized. Lineage: Eukaryota; Metazoa; Chordata; Mammalia; Carnivora; Felidae. The record is from RefSeq and is a predicted model, not a curated record. The transcript is spliced from 2 exons.
AGCCUGACGCAGGGCCUGAACUCAAGAAACCGCGAGAUCACGACCUGAGCCGAAACCAAGAGCCAGACGCUGAACCGACUGGACCGCCCAGGUGCCCCUCGUGGAUACUUAUUUUAUACUUUGGAUUAUAAUGCAACACCACUUUAUUAUUCAGAUUGGCUCAGCUUUGGUCAUUGGGAGCUUUGUAAAUGGCCCCUGUGUCCCUUGUCCCUCUGAUAUAACCUCAUCAUUGAGUUUUAUUUUUUGUUUUGAGUACUUUUUUAGUGUCUGGGACUAUAGGAUGCAUUAGAUUCACCCUUAUAUUUUCUACUCCACUCUUAGGAUCAUUUCUGCAAAGAGCCCUGGUUCCUUUUAUGGGAAAAUGGUGUUAGAAUCCACGAUCUGGGUGCCAGGUGUAGUAGCUUUUUGCAAACCAAAUACUUGGUGGAAAAGAAAGUUUUUGCCCAUUGUUUCAGGUAGUGAUGAAUUGGGUUAUUGAAAUAAUUUUUAUGUUAAUACUGCUGGAUCGAAAUUUUACCUGAGUGAGUUGAGUAGAAUCAUCACAAGAAUUUCUAAGUAAAAUUCUAAGAAGUAAUUAUUUUAUUACUCUUUUCUGUUACUUUAAAGAAAGCCGCCUGCCCAUGAUGGCACUUUAUCCUUGACCAGAACCUGAGGCAGAACUUCAAAACAUGCAUCUGCGUACCAUUUCAAUAAGAGAGCGGAAUUGUUACCGCCCAUCAAGCAACCAGGUCAGAAGAAUCACAAGAUCUGAUAGGCGAAUGCGUGAAAUGUGUGUUGAUUGUAAAAACAAAACAAAACAAAACUCAGUUUCUAAGAAUUAACCAUCUGUUUUUUUCCCAGGGCCUCCUUGUCCUCACCUAUUGUAUUUUAAUUUUCUUGCAGCUUAACUGUAAAGAAUAGUCUUCUAAAUCAGUGUAAAUAGAAAAACUUCGAUUUAAAUGGAUUGCAUGCAAUUGCAAUUAGUAAGCAGCAGAAGCACUAACGAGGAAGAGAGCCAGGCAGGUGAAAAACCCGAAGCCAAGGUAAAUGAAGCAGUCUCUGAUGAAUAAGCAAACGUUAACUCAGGGCACCGGAAAACAGAGUGAGUUGGAGAUGCCCAGGGAGCCCUCAAAUGAAAAUAGCUGGAAAGCCUCCAGAGGGACGGAGCUGAGUAUAGAGAUGGGCAGAUCAUAAGAGCGAGGUUCUGGGGAAGGGUUGCUCUUGCGUCUGAAGCCUGGCACAGAUUGCCAGGGAGCACGUGAGACGCCCAGUGUCUUCUUCAGAGUUCAGCGGAAGCCAUCAAGCCCAUGCUGGAAGAGCCUGGAAACACUAAUCUAGGACACAAUGGAGGGAAACUUGAGUGUAUGAAGGGUGUACCAUGUGCUGGGUGAACUAUGUCAUUUAAUUUUUAUACCCGCCCUUUCCCGUCUCACGGCAUUUAAUUCUUACACCAACCCUUUGAAGGAGAGUAUUACUACAGUGUUACAGGUGGAGGAAAUGGGGCACAGAGCGGCUUGAGAAUAGCUUGCAAAUCACACAGCCACUAAUCGGAGGUAAACUCAGACCAGGGUUUAAAAAGUGGAAGUUUUCAUUUCAAGCAGUUUGGGGGAAUCAAGAUAGACUGAAACCAAUUCGGUGUUGCGUAGGUGCAGGCUCUUAGCCCCUGGGGCGAUUAACGAUACUUUUUUGUGGGGGGGUCUGGGUUGCACUGGUUAAGAGAAAGGCGUUUAAAUUGGUGGCUGUGACGUUCAGAUGGUUUAGAACUGCUGAAAAAUGAGGGUUCUGGUAGGCUGCUCUAUCUGGAGAGCCUUCGAAUGGGCUGAAAACUCCUGGACAUAGCUGGUUAAGCAAGUGGGCUUGGGGAUUGGCUGAAGGGUGGGUUCUUUUAAUUAUCAUUUCACAUUCCCUUUGACCUUCUCAGGAUUCCUGUAGACGGGAGAGAGUGCUUUUUGGCUCUUCCGGGGAGAAUAAAUUUUAGUGGGGGCUAUUCUUCGAUUCUGGCCAACUGGUCGCUCCGAUGUACGUUAGGCCAUUUGUGAAUGAGAGAGGAGAAUCGCGAAAACCGCUGUGAACUGCGAGGAUGUAAUAUGUUAAACAUGGUGUGUUUAUGUUUACAAAAUAAAUCUCAAGAGCAAAUUAAUUGUAUGUCUGUAGUUCUUGAAGUGAAGUAGGCUAAGUGGGGGAAAAGCAUGAUUUAAUCUUGCUUUAUUGCUGGCCAAAUCUCUAGGCUGGCCUUUUUUUUCCUUUUAAUAAAAAUGCUUGUGGUUCCUUGUCUUCCCAUUAGCUCAUAGUUGAGAGCUCUGUUAAGUUGUCUGUGAGACGGCGUGUAUUAGGCUUGCCUGAUUAAAAUUGUUCAUGAGAGAUCAAGCAGACAAGGGACUUUUAGCAUAAUUAAAAAAGCACUGCUCGCCUUUAAAGAUGAGAUUUCAGAGAUUUUCAAAUUUAUAUCCACCUGUAGGGAAGUGUGUUUAUGUAAUUAGAUUCCGGUUCUCUCAUGAACCCUUCUUAACUCAAUUCACACAUGGUGUCCUUUCCUUUUAUAGACUGUCAUCUCAUGCAGGAGACGAGAGAUGUUGAGAGGAGACAGAAUUUGAAUGAACUGAAACGUUUCCCUUGAAAGAUCACAAUGUGAUAAGUUACACAAUCAGUUACCUCCUUAUGUUAACCUGUUUAUUUGUGAAAGGAAAUGCAGGAGCAAAGUUGAAGAUCGUCAAGGGAAAAAUCCAAACAAAUGGCCUAUCCUGUGUUCUCAGGCUAAUCCGAGAAAAAUUACAGCAGCUUUUGGAAUAUAUCUCCUUGUGUUCAAUGGACAUCUUCGUCCAAGGUUGUUUUUUCAAAAUUUUGUCUUUUCAUAUUGCAGUCCCAAACUUUCCAUUGCUGCGCUCUGAAAUCAUUCAGUUCUUAUUCUCAUUUUACUGUCAUGUUUCAGAGGGAAAAAAAGAGAUGAUUACACUUAAUGUGGUUUAAAAUGGCUUCUUUUGUCCUUUUAAAGCAAAGUCCACUGCUAUGGACUUGUUUAGUACUUUAUAGAGCACACUUCAGGUUUGUUUUUUUUUUUAAGUGUGUUUCUAAAAUACAUUUUAGUUCUUUGGAAAGAAACCCUUUCUAGCGUAAAUCAAAAUGUUAUUGCUGUAAUGAGGCAGCAUUUUAGAAGAAAAUUACCAAGGUGUGAACCUGGUUUUUUUUUUUUUUUUACCUACAUGUAUAAGGCAUUAAUUUCAUAGACGAAGCGCUUCCGAACAUGGGAACAUUUUCUUCAGGGAAAGCAUUUUCCUCAACGAAUAAGUAAUGCUUUGUUUUCACCCAGAAGAUUGCUUUAGAACAUUUCUCAUGUAAUUAAAAUAAUUUUUCCAUUAGCUGAGAGUAGUUCUCAAAGCUUCUUGACUUUUUUUUUUCACUUCUGUCUUAUUCUGCAUUUUUAAAAAAGAAUUCGUUCCAGCCUGAUUUUAACAUUAAACAGCAGUGUGCAGAAGGUACCCAAAUUAUGUUUAUGUGAGCUCUGGGCAAGAGAAAAAGAUGAUAAAAGAACCUCCCCAAACCAGAAGGUACCAUAAAUUAUCCCAGUUAUAUAUUGAGACUAAAUUUUAGGAACCUAAUGAAACAUAUAUUGGCCAGGCAUAAAAAUACUUCAAAACCAUAAACAAUCGAGAAAGAAAGGAGCCUGAAAUUUUAAAUGGUGGGAUUUUUUUUUUUUAAUGUCUCAUGUUAUCUGCAGGAGGAGAGCACUAAACAAGGUUACAUCUUGAAAUGGUAAAAUCUGUGAAUAGUUUUGUUUGUGGGAGGAGGGUCACAAAGAGGUUAUUCCUCUGGCUUUCUUCUCCUUGACAAGUAAUCAGAGUAGUUCACAGAUUUCCUGGUUUCCAACCAUUUUAUAGUCUGGAGAAUUAAUGCUUGCAUCAAAUUAUACAGUACCUUACUUUUGAUUAAAUAAAGUGUUUUAACAGGACCCUACAAUCAAGUAAGCUAGAUAAUAGUUGCUUUAAUUAAGACCUAAUUUAGGUUGAAAACAUAUAGAAUUAACAAGGUGUACUAUAUGUUAUAAUUAUAGCAACCGGUAUAUUUUUGCCAUAGGCAUUAUGAUUUCCUUUAUAUUCCACAGAAAGGAAAACCCUUAUGUUCUCUUUAUUCUUGUUCAAUUUCACACACUGGUUUUCAUAUCCAUUUAAUUGCUUAUUCAUCCACCUGUCUGUCGUUCAUCCAUUUAUUCAGUAAGCACUUACGGAACCUUUCCCGUUGGGCUUGGGUACCUGUGAUACAGAGAGGAGUCAACUCUUUGAGGAUAUCUUUGUGUGUGUGUGUGUGUGUAUGUAUAUAUAUUGCAUGCCACAAAUUCACAAAGAAUUACCAGUACGAAUAGAGUGAUGUGCAUGUAAAAGAAGGUGCAUCUAGUUGUUUCUGGAAUGUCAGAGAAAACUUCAGCAGAGGAGACCGUGUUUAAACUGAGUCGGGAAGGUCCUUCACUGGGCUGAAAAUCAGAGGAAGGGCACACAGAAAAGUGAGAAGAGCAAGUAAAAAAUGCAUUGCGAUUUUAGAAGACGUGUAAAUAUUUUGGUAUGUCUGGAAUAUCCGGGAGAAAUCAUUGGAAAUGGUGCUGUGGAAGUAGGCAGGUAGAUCUCUCACCUGGCCGUCUCGAUGAGUUCAGACUUUACUUGUAAGGCAGUGAAGGAAAUGAAGCUGAGUGAAUAGCAGGAGAAAAUUUGCAUUUUGGGAAAAUAAGUUGGGCAGGAUUACAGAAAAUGUUUACAGAGGGCAACAAGGGACCACAUGCAGUAUUCAUCAGAUGGCUCCUGUUUUUCUCAGUGAACUGGGAGGCAAUCUUGUAUCCUUGGGUUUUAGGGUCAGACAGACUUCAUUUCAGAUCCUGAAUCUCAAGAGCCCCUUAACUUCCCUCAGCCUAGGAUUUUUCAUCUGUAAAAUGGGAAUAAUAGUGGUCUUGCAGGAUUGUAGAGUUUACGUGUUCGAAAUGCUUUGCUUGGAUUUCUAGGCCAAUUCUAAUCCAUGUUUCACACUAUCGGCCGUUUGCCAAAAGCCAUCGUGGCUUUCUUCAGGCUUCUCAUUUCCAGGCUUGGUGCAUUCUCAGAUGUUCCAGGUUUUGGGGUGGUGGUUACUAAAACAAAACAAAGCAAAUGGUUUUGUUGAAGUGUAUCUGACAUACAGUAAACCGCACAUAAUUAAAGAGUACGAUUUGGAUGUUUGGAUAUGUCUGUGAGAUCAUCACUGCAGUCAAGGUGCUGAAUAUACUGUCACUCCAGUGGUUUCUUUGUGUUUCCUUGUGUUUUCUUCCUUCCCCUUCUCCC